CCUACGGGGGCGCUGCAGUGGGGACUAUUGGACAAUGGGCGAAAGCCUGAUCCAGCCAUGCCGCGUGUGUGAAGAAGGCCUUCGGGUUGUAAAGCACUUUCAGUGGGGAAGAAAGCCUUGGGGCUAAUACCCUCGAGGAAGGACAUCACCCACAGAAGAAGCACCGGCUAACUCCGUGCCAGCAGCCGCGGUAAUACGGAGGGUGCGAGCGUUAAUCGGAAUUACUGGGCGUAAAGCGCGCGUAGGCGGUCUGAUAAGCCGGUUGUGAAAGCCCCGGGCUCAACCUGGGAACGGCAUCCGGAACUGUCAGGCUAGAGUGCAGGAGAGGAAGGUAGAAUUCCCGGUGUAGCGGUGAAAUGCGUAGAGAUCGGGAGGAAUACCAGUGGCGAAGGCGGCCUUCUGGACUGACACUGACGCUGAGGUGCGAAAGCGUGGGUAGCAAACAGGAUUAGAUACCCCAGUAGUC
Molecule: ribosomal RNA, 466 nt
Filed under: Vreelandella stevensii
Lineage: Bacteria; Pseudomonadati; Pseudomonadota; Gammaproteobacteria; Oceanospirillales; Halomonadaceae
Description: partial 16S ribosomal RNA
Rfam family: Bacterial small subunit ribosomal RNA
Source: RNAcentral